Long non-coding RNA from Xenopus tropicalis (tropical clawed frog), 4668 nucleotides. RefSeq lists it as uncharacterized. The record is from RefSeq and is a predicted model, not a curated record. The transcript is spliced from 25 exons. Lineage: Eukaryota; Metazoa; Chordata; Amphibia; Anura; Pipidae.
AUCAAGAACAUGAACCAGAGGGAACCCCCAGACUAUUCUCAGGUUGGACCCUGGUCUGAAUAAAGUCAAGCGGAGGAGGUACUUCAGCCUUGGCAGAGUUGUAGGAACAAAAAGUUGUGGGUUUUACAUCCUAAAGGCGUAAGAAUAAGCUGCAUCCUCCAUACCAGGUUGUGCCCUGGUGUGGGAAAAGUCCAACAGCAGCGGUGCUUCAGCCUUAGUACGUGAGUUUGUGGUAAAGGUUUUGGGUGGAAUGAUCAUUUUUUUAACAUGUGUGAGAAUAUAUACCCUCAGGGUGUUUGUAGAUUGGACCCUGGCUUUGGAGUUCCCAGCAGAGGAGAGUUUUCUUGCUGGCUUGGACCCUGGUCUGAAUAAAGUCUAGCCAUGGAGGUACUUCAGUCUUGGCAGGAUGGGGAGCUGCUUUUGAAAACCCUCUGUGGAGGCACUUCAGCCUUGGCCGGUUGGACCCUGGUCUGAAUAAAGUCAAGCGGAGGAGGUACUUCAGCCUUGGCAGAGUUGUAGGAACAAAAUGUAUAAGUUGUGGGUUUCACACCCUAAAGGCUGAAGAAUAAGGUGCAUCCUCCAUACCAGGUUGGACCCUGGUCUGAAUAAAAUCUAGCCAUGGAGGUACUUCAGUCUUGGCAGGAUGGGGAGCUGCUUUUGAAAACCCUCUGUGGAGGCACUUCAGCCUUGGCCGUCUAGCCAUGGAGGUACUUCAGUCUUGGCAGAGUUGUAGGAACAAAAAGUUGUGGGUUUUACAUCCUAAAGGCGUAAGAAUAAGCUGCAUCCUCCAUACUAGGUUGUGCCCUGGUGUGGGAAAAGUCCAACAGCAGCGGUGCUUCAGCCUUAGUACGUGAGUUUGUGGUAAAGGUUUUGGGUGGAAUGAUCAUUUUUUUAACAUGUGUGAGAAUAUAUACCCUCAGGGGGUUUGUAGAUUGGACCCUGGCUUUGGAGUUCCCAGCAGAGGAGAGUUUUCGCUCUUGCUGGGUGAGUGAAGGUCCUGGUUCUAGAGAUAGGGGUGCGAGACAAGAGAUGAAUUGUUUCUAAUGAGUGUGACAAUGAAAUGCUUUAACAAAGAUAUAUCUUUGUUUAUUAGGUUGGACCCUGGUCUGAAUAAAGCCUAGCCAUGGAGGUACCUCAGUCUUGGCAGGUAAGUAGACAAGAUGGUGCUAGUGGUGGGGUAAUUGGUUAGGAUUUAUUUGAGCAUUCUUCUGCCUGAGCAUCCCUGGUGAGAAAAGUCAGCAGUAGGUGGCUUUGGAAGAUUGAGCCUUGGUUUGGGGAAAGUCCUUCUGCAGAAGACGCCAUGAGUAGCAAUGCUCACAGCAGCAGAAUUUAUAUUUACAGGUUGUGACUAUCUGCUCACAGAGGCACUUACGCCUUAGAGGUGAGUAGGGGGGCAGAUACUUGUGUGGCACAGGGCAUUGUUGAUGCUGGAUGUCUGUUUUAUAUAUUGGGCCUUGGUUUAGUAAUUGUCCCGUGGCCACUGUGGUUCUUCACUUUUGGUAGGAGAGUGGAGCAAUAGUACUUGCUUGUGGGGUUCACGUGAUGUUGUUUUUAUUAGCACCUUUAUUUUGAGUAAGUGAGGCCUUUUUUUAGUCUGGCCAUGGUGGCUUUUUAGCCAUUUUAGGUGAGUGGGGAUGCUGAAGCUUUUGGUAGCUGGUCAUAUGGGUAAUCCAGUGGUUUAGGUGUACAAAGGUACGAUCUCUUACCUAUGUAUCUUUCUUUUACAGGUUGGGAAAGUUCAGCCUUUGCUAUACAUGAAUGGGCUACUUUAGCCUAGGUUUGUCUAUAACAGGUUGUACAGCGAAUUGCAGAGGUGUCUCUUAUACAAGUCUGUUGGGGAUAAGUGUGUCAGAGAAGAAAUCAGAUCAUUAGUGGCUGAGUGGGGAUGCACAUGGUAUAGAGUGAUAGCUUUUUGGGGGGAGAGCCCUUUCAGGUGAGUGGGGGUUUCUGGUACUCCCGGUAGGUGCCUUAGUUAGGGGGUUUGAUUUCUUUUGAGAUGCAUAGGGAUGUGCUUCAGCCUAGGCUUCUUUAUUUUACAGGUUGGUUUGGGAGAAGUCCAGGCUGCAGAUCUGCUUCAACAUUGGCAGAAAGCUGAGGAUGCUGGUUCUUGUGGUUGGACCCUGGUCUGAAUAAAGUCAAGCGGAGGAGGUACUUCAGCCUUGGCAGAGUUGUAGGAACAAAAAGUUGUGGGUUUUACAUCCUAAAGGCGUAAGAAUAAGCUGCAUCCUCCAUACCAGGUUGUGCCCUGGUGUGGGAAAAGUCCAACAGCAGCGGUGCUUCAGCCUUAGUACGUGAGUUUGUGGUAAAGGUUUUGGGUGGAAUGAUCAUUUUUUUAACAUGUGUGAGAAUAUAUACCCUCAGGGUGUUUUGUAGAUUGGACCCUGGCUUUGGAGUUCCCAGCAGAGGAGAGUUUUCUUGCUGAGUUGGACCCUGGUCUGAAUAAAGUCUAGCCAUGGAGGUACUUCAGUCUUGGCAGGAUGGGGAGCUGCUUUUGAAAACCCUCUGUGGAGGCACUUCAGCCUUGGCCGGUUGGACCCUGGUCUGAAUAAAGUCAAGCGGAGGAGGUACUUCAGCCUUGGCAGAGUUGUAGGAACAAAAAGUUGUGGGUUUUACAUCCUAAAGGCGUAAGAAUAAGCUGCAUCCUCCAUACUAGGUUGUGCCCUGGUGUGGGAAAAGUCCAACAGCAGCGGUGCUUCAGCCUUAGUACGUGAGUUUGUGGUAAAGGUUUUGGGUGGAAUGAUCAUUUUUUUAACAUGUGUGAGAAUAUAUACCCUCAGGGGGUUUGUAGAUUGGACCAUGGCUUUGGAGUUCCCAGCAGAGGAGAGUUUUCGCUCUUGCUGGGUGAGUGAAGGUCCUGGUUCUAGAGAUAGGGGUGCGAGACAAGAGAUGAAUUGUUUCUAAUGAGUGUGACAAUGAAAUGCUUUAACAAAGAUAUAUCUUUGUUUAUUAGGUUGGACCCUGGUCUGAAUAAAGCCUAGCCAUGGAGGUACCUCAGUCUUGGCAGGUAAGUAGACAAGAUGGUGCUAGUGGUGGGGUAAUUGGUUAGGAUUUAUUUGAGCAUUCUUCUGCCUGAGCAUCCCUGGUGAGAAAAGUCAGCAGUAGGUGGCUUUGGAAGGUGAGUACUUAUCCUUUUAGUGAAGGUGAAGGGAUAGAUUGGUUUCAAUGUGCAUAAGGUGUGUGCUACUUCACCUAGGCAUCUCUUUUAAUCAGAUGGGGAGCUGCUUUUGAAAACCCUCUGUGGAGGCACUUCAGCCUUGGCCGGUGAGUGGGAAUUACCAAUCUCGGUGUUGUAGGAUGGGCUUUGCUUUGGUAGAUAUUUAUUCCCAGAAGCAUUUUAUUCUUCAUGGGUAAGUAGGCAUGCCGGUGCUGGAGGUAGGAUGUGGAGAUAUUGGUUUUGGUGUUAAGAUUGAGUCUCUUUUUUAGGCUAGGCCCUGAUAAGGUCAACUGACCUUUCUAGGUGAAUGUGGAUGUGUGAGAAAAACCCUCUCUGAAAGGGACUAGAGAAUGUGUAAUGAAUAACACUAUAAGUGUUGGUGAGAGACCUAAACAGCUGUGACAAAUAAACAUGUUUUGCUUCUUCAACUCCCUGCACCCCAACUAUUUAUUGUGUGAACGAAAACUUGUACUAUGGAGCUUCAGGUCUUUUACCAAUUGCACCCGUCACAGACACAGAAGGGUUUUAUAGGUUUGACUUUGUUUUGGAAAAUGCCAUGGAGACACCUCAGCUGAGGCUGGUGAGUAGGUCUACAGGUCUCUUAUACAAGUCUGUUGGGGAUAAGUGUGUCAGAGAAGAAAUCAGAUCAUUAGUGGGUGAGUGGGGAUGCACAUGGUAUAGAAUGAUAGCUUUUUGGGGGGAGAAUUCACUGCUUAAUUGUUUUUGUUUUACAGGUUGAACUGUAAUUUGGAACUUGUCUUACCAAGGAGCUAUUUGCUGUUGGUAAUUGCUAGUUCUUGUGGUAGAGGUGAAGGUUACAAGAUCAAUUAUGUUAGUACUACCUAUGGCUGAAGUGGCAGUGCAGCCCUUUCAGGUUGGUUUGGGAGAAGUCCGGGCUAUGGAGGUGUAUUAUGCUUGGUAAAUGACUGGGGUUGCAGGUGCUUGUGGUAGGUGUGCAGGGGAGGAAUAUACCCUUCAGCUUGCAUGCCUAUUUGUUUUUAUAGUUUCCACCACAGUGUCAUAAAAAUCCAUCCAUGCUUUGUUUUACAGGUUUUACCAGAAGUCUGGCUUUGGAGGCACUUUAUCCUUCUCAGGUGCUACUUCAACCUUACAAUAGGUUGGGUCCUGGAGAAACUGGAGCAAGUUGGGCUUUCAAUUGGUUGGGGAAAGUCACGCUGUUGAGGUGCCAGAGCUGUUGCAGAUGAGAGUGAUUCUUGUGGUUAUAGCGGGGGGGGGGGGGGAUUGGAAGUCAAUUGAUAUAUUGGUUUUAAUGUGAAUGAAAAUGCAUUGCUUUAGUCUAAGUUUCCCUUUAUUUUCCAGGUCAGGUCCUGGUACUGAUAGUCCAGCCAAGGAGGCUCUACAGCUUUGGCAAAUAAGUAACUGAUUACUGAGUAGGGGAGCUGGAGUCUCGUUUUUAACAGAAUGGGCCCACAAAUGAGAAAAGUCAGCAGUAGGUGGCUUUGGAAGAUUGAGCCUUGGUUUGGGGAAAGUCCUUCUGCAGAAGCCGCCAUGAG